Molecule: ribosomal RNA, 249 nt
Filed under: uncultured bacterium
Lineage: Bacteria
Description: partial small subunit ribosomal RNA
Rfam family: Bacterial small subunit ribosomal RNA
Source: RNAcentral
AGAAUCAACGCUGGCGGCGUGCCUAACACAUGCAAGUCGCGACGAGAAAGGGGCUUCGGCUCUGAGUAAAGUGGCGCACGGGUGAGUAACACGUGAAUAAUCUACCUCCGAGUGGGGAAUAACUGAGAGAAAUCUUAGCUAAUACCGCAUAACACUUACGAGUCAAAGCAGCAAUGCGCUUGGAGAGGAGUUCGCGGCCGAUUAGUUAGUUGGCGGGGUAAUGGCCCACCAAGACGAUGAUCGGUAUCC